This 69-nucleotide transfer RNA is filed under the name Incisitermes schwarzi. RNAcentral describes it as "tRNA-Val". The record is from RNAcentral. Lineage: Eukaryota; Metazoa; Arthropoda; Insecta; Blattodea; Kalotermitidae.
CAGAUUUGUCCUAUAGUUGGGUUUUUCACUUACAUUGAAAAUUUUGUCGUGCGAUUCGACGUUUUCUGA